RNAcentral lists this transfer RNA (73 nucleotides) under Candidatus Woesearchaeota archaeon CG11_big_fil_rev_8_21_14_0_20_43_8. RNAcentral describes it as "tRNA-Tyr". It matches the Rfam family "tRNA". From Rfam's summary of the family: Transfer RNA (tRNA) molecules are approximately 80 nucleotides in length. Their secondary structure includes four short double-helical elements and three loops (D, anti-codon, and T loops). Lineage: Archaea; Nanobdellati; Candidatus Woesearchaeota. The record is from RNAcentral.
CCCCAUGUAGCUCAAUGGCUAGAGCGUUCGGCUGUAGACCGAAAGGUUGCUGGUUCAAGUCCGGCCAUGGGGA